UGCAGUCGAACGGAAGGCCUCUAGCUUGCUGGGGGUACUCGAGUGGCGAACGGGUGAGUAACACGUGGGUGAUCUGCCCUGCACUUCGGGAUAAGCUUGGGAAACUGGGUCUAAUACCGGAUAUGAACGGUCUUUGGUGUGAUUGUUGGAAAGAUUUUUUCGGUGUGGGAUGAGCUCGCGGCCUAUCAGCUUGUUGGUGGGGUAAUGGCCUACCAAGGCGUCGACGGGUAGCCGGCCUGAGAGGGUGUACGGCCACAUUGGGACUGAGAUACGGCCCAGACUCCUACGGGAGGCAGCAGUGGGGAAUAUUGCACAAUGGGCGCAAGCCUGAUGCAGCGACGCCGCGUGGGGGAUGAAGGCCUUCGGGUUGUAAACUCCUUUCGCUAGGGACGAAGCCUUUUAUUGGGUGACGGUACCUGGAUAAGAAGCACCGGCUAACUACGUGCCAGCAGCCGCGGUAAUACGUAGGGUGCAAGCGUUGUCCGGAAUUACUGGGCGUAAAGAGCUCGUAGGUGGUUUGUCGCGUCGUCUGUGAAAUUCCGGGGCUUAACUCCGGGCGUGCAGGCGAUACGGGCAUAACUUGAGUGCUGUAGGGGAGACUGGAAUUCCUGGUGUAGCGGUGAAAUGCGCAGAUAUCAGGAGGAACACCGAUGGCGAAGGCAGGUCUCUGGGCAGUAACUGACGCUGAGGAGCGAAAGCAUGGGUAGCGAACAGGAUUAGAUACCCUGGUAGUCCAUGCCGUAAACGGUGGGCGCUAGGUGUAGGGGGCUUCCACGUCUUCUGUGCCGUAGCUAACGCAUUAAGCGCCCCGCCUGGGGAGUACGGCCGCAAGGCUAAAACUCAAAGGAAUUGACGGGGGCCCGCACAAGCGGCGGAGCAUGUGGAUUAAUUCGAUGCAACGCGAAGAACCUUACCUGGGCUUGACAUAUGCAGGAUUGGGUCAGAGAUGGCUUGUCCCUUGUGGUCUGUAUACAGGUGGUGCAUGAUGUCGUCAGCUCGUGUCGUGAGAUGUGGGUAAGUCCCGCAACGAGCGCACCCUUGUCUUAUGUUGCAGCACGUUGGGUGGGACUCAUGAAGACUGCUGGGGCUACUCGGAGGAGUGGGAUGACGUCCAAAUCAUCAUGCCGUAGGUCAGCUUCCACAUGCUACAUG
Molecule: ribosomal RNA, 1152 nt
Filed under: Corynebacterium flavescens
Lineage: Bacteria; Bacillati; Actinomycetota; Actinomycetes; Mycobacteriales; Corynebacteriaceae
Description: bacterial SSU rRNA
Rfam family: Bacterial small subunit ribosomal RNA
Source: RNAcentral